AGAGUGAACGCUGGCGGCAGGCCUAACACAUGCAAGUCGAACGGCAGCACAAGGGAGCUUGCUCCCUGGGUGGCGAGUGGCGGACGGGUGAGGAAUACGUCGGAAUCUGCCUAUUUGUGGGGGAUAACGUAGGGAAACUUACGCUAAUACCGCAUACGACCCCGUGCCGAGAGGCGCGGGGUGAAAGCGGAGGACCUUCGGGCUUCGCGCAGAUAGAUGAGCCGACGUCGGAUUAGCUU
RNAcentral lists this ribosomal RNA (239 nucleotides) under uncultured soil bacterium. Its description in RNAcentral is "partial 16S ribosomal RNA". It matches the Rfam family "Bacterial small subunit ribosomal RNA", at positions 26 to 247 of the family's 1533-position model. The record is from RNAcentral.